CAGCCAUGGCGGAGCCUGUGCAGGAGGAGCUCUCGGUCCUGGCCGCGAUUUUCUGCAGGCCCCACGAGUGGGAGGUGCUGAGCCGCUCAGGAGUACUUGAUUCUUCAGAAAACCUCCAAAGUAGAUGUGGACUCAAGUGGAAAGAAAUGCAAAGAGAAAAUGAUUAGUGUACUGUUUGAAACAAAAGUACAGACAGAACACAAAAGGUUUCUGGCAUUUGAAGUCAAAGAGUAUUCAGCGUUGGAUGAAUUACAAAAGGAAUUUGAAACUGCAGGACUUAAGAAGCUUUUCUCCGAAUUUGUACUUGCUCUGGUAAAAUGAAAUGGAAGACAGGAAUCUUUUAGUAAAAUAGCAGUGUUUUUUGUUGUUUUUGCAUUGGAUUUGGGGAGUGGUUAAUUGAAAUAGUCAAUUUUAAAGUUUCUCUGAAGCAAAAUGAUAGGCAUCAUUCUAACUUCAGGAACAAAAGCCAGUUCUGUUUUAUGAAAUAUUAAACAUGAAGAAAACUUGUAUAUUCUAAUGUUUGCCAGGAAAGGCUAGGUUCAGUAGAUGAGACAUUAUUUAAAAGAUAAAUUUAAAAAGAUGGUAAAUGAACACUUGUUUUUAUAGACAAUAUUUGUUUGAAACUAUGUAAUUUUCUGGCUAAUUUUCUUGUAAUUAAAUGAUUUUUU
RNAcentral lists this long non-coding RNA (668 nucleotides) under Homo sapiens (human). Its description in RNAcentral is "HSALNT0011052". The record is from RNAcentral. Lineage: Eukaryota; Metazoa; Chordata; Mammalia; Primates; Hominidae.